Long non-coding RNA from Mobula hypostoma (lesser devil ray), 857 nucleotides. RefSeq lists it as uncharacterized. Lineage: Eukaryota; Metazoa; Chordata; Chondrichthyes; Myliobatiformes; Myliobatidae. The record is from RefSeq and is a predicted model, not a curated record. The transcript is spliced from 3 exons.
AAACUUACCUCUUUGAAGUGUUCAGACAGGAAAUCAGCAACAAAUGAUACAUCUCUGUGCGUCAUCUGUAUUUUGAAAUGAAGUUGAAGUUAUGAACAGAUUGACAGAAACCAAAGAUUCCAUCUGAUUUAAAAAAUAAUUACAUUUGAAGAUUCUGGAGCAAAUAAUCUCACAUCUGGGAUUCUCGGUGCCAUAUAGGCUAUUACACAGCAAUGGAAAUAGACAAAAUUAAUUUCCAAGCAAUGGUGAUAAAAGCGGAAAACGUUGCCAGUAGGCAAAGAAUGGCUGCUAGACGAGGGUAGAUGAGGUUCUGUUGAAGACCAUGACCUGGAGUUACACUCAGACUUCAGUUUUUUGCAGUGGUGGGACCUGCUCCUGGUGGCUCACGACCGGCCGCUUUUUGAUACUCCGAGGGCGUGGCCUCGAAGAUGAGCAUGCCUUUGGUUUUCCGGACAUGUAGACAGGUUGAUUCUAAGCCAGUGCCGGCAAAUGAAAUGUCAUGGAAGAAAACUGAACCUCAGGAACACCGGAUCAGCUGUCGAAGGCUCUGUACUCAGCAAAAUGCGUGCUCUCUGCUCUCUCUCUUUGGUGGAGAAGAGAUUGUUGCUGUUCUCUGGGCGGAGAACUCAGAGAAAAAGUCUUAGUAUUGAAAAUUAGUAGAAGUUUUUUUUGGCUCCUCAUUAUCUGACAGAUGAGCCCAGUGAACUAGCCAAUGCCAAUGUCAUAUAUCAGUGAAAGGUCACUGGCAAUUAAAAAGACAAGUUCAGGCAUAAAACAAGAAAAAUCUGGACACAAAGACAAUCAAAUAUAAUGAAAUAAUUAAUCUUAUGUGUUGAUCUGUUAUAAUUCAAGCUUGG